This 482-nucleotide ribosomal RNA is filed under the name uncultured bacterium. RNAcentral describes it as "partial 16S ribosomal RNA". It matches the Rfam family "Bacterial small subunit ribosomal RNA", at positions 30 to 507 of the family's 1533-position model. The record is from RNAcentral.
AUUGAACGCUGGCGGCAUGCUUUACACAUGCAAGUCGAACGGUAACAGGCCGCAAGGUGCUGACGAGUGGCGAACGGGUGAGUAAUGCAUCGGAACGUGCCCAGUCGUGGGGGAUAACUACUCGAAAGAGUAGCUAAUACCGCAUACGAUCUAUGGAUGAAAGCGGGGGACCGUAAGGCCUCGCGCGAUUGGAGCGGCCGAUGUCAGAUUAGGUAGUUGGUGGGGUAAAGGCUCACCAAGCCAACGAUCUGUAGCUGGUCUGAGAGGACGACCAGCCACACUGGGACUGAGACACGGCCCAGACUCCUACGGGAGGCAGCAGUGGGGAAUUUUGGACAAUGGGCGCAAGCCUGAUCCAGCAAUGCCGCGUGCAGGAAGAAGGCCUUCGGGCUGUAAACUGCUUUUGUACGGAACGAAACGGCUCUGGUUAAUACCCGGGGCUAAUGACGGUACCGUAAGAAUAAGCACCGGCUAACUACGUG